RNAcentral lists this ribosomal RNA (659 nucleotides) under uncultured Alphaproteobacteria bacterium. RNAcentral describes it as "bacterial SSU rRNA". It matches the Rfam family "Bacterial small subunit ribosomal RNA", at positions 28 to 733 of the family's 1533-position model. The record is from RNAcentral. Lineage: Bacteria; Pseudomonadati; Pseudomonadota; Alphaproteobacteria.
AACGAACGCUGGCGGCAUGCCUAACACAUGCAAGUCGAACGAAGGCUUCGGCCUUAGUGGCGCACGGGUGCGUAACGCGUGGGAAUCUGCCCUUAGGUUCGGAAUAACAGCUGGAAACGGCUGCUAAUACCGGAUGAUGACGAAAGUCCAAAGAUUUAUCGCCUGAGGAUGAGCCCGCGUUGGAUUAGGUAGUUGGUGGGGUAAAGGCCUACCAAGCCGACGAUCCAUAGCUGGUCUGAGAGGAUGAUCAGCCACACUGGGACUGAGACACGGCCCAGACUCCUACGGGAGGCAGCAGUGGGGAAUAUUGGACAAUGGGCGAAAGCCUGAUCCAGCAAUGCCGCGUGAGUGAUGAAGGCCCUAGGGUUGUAAAGCUCUUUUACCCGGGAAGAUAAUGACUGUACCGGGAGAAUAAGCCCCGGCUAACUCCGUGCCAGCAGCCGCGGUAAUACGGAGGGGGCUAGCGUUGUUCGGAAUUACUGGGCGUAAAGCGCACGUAGGCGGCUUUGUAAGUCAGAGGUGAAAGCCUGGAGCUCAACUCCAGAACUGCCUUUGAGACUGCAUCGCUUGAAUCCAGGAGAGGUCAGUGGAAUUCCGAGUGUAGAGGUGAAAUUCGUAGAUAUUCGGAAGAACACCAGUGGCGAAGGCGGCUGACUGGA